Molecule: ribosomal RNA, 253 nt
Filed under: uncultured bacterium
Lineage: Bacteria
Description: partial 16S ribosomal RNA
Rfam family: Bacterial small subunit ribosomal RNA
Source: RNAcentral
UACGUAGGGGGCAAGCGUUGUCCGGAAUCAUUGGGCGUAAAGGGUGCGUAGGCGGCGCGGUAAGUCGGGUGUGAAAUCUCGGAGCUUAACUCCGAAACUGCAUUCGAUACUGCCGUGCUUGAGGACUGGAGAGGAGACUGGAAUUUACGGUGUAGCGGUGAAAUGCGUAGAUAUCGUAAGGAAGACCAGUGGCGAAGGCGGGUCUCUGGACAGUUCCUGACGCUGAGGCACGAAGGUCAGGGGAGCAAACGGG